This 207-nucleotide non-coding RNA is filed under the name Loigolactobacillus rennini. RNAcentral describes it as "Lactobacillus rennini T-box sequence". It matches the Rfam family "T-box leader". Rfam says of the family: Uncharged tRNA acts as the effector for transcription antitermination of genes in the T-box leader family. T-boxes are found upstream of many aminoacyl-tRNA synthetase genes and some amino acid biosynthetic genes usually in Gram-positive bacteria. Lineage: Bacteria; Bacillati; Bacillota; Bacilli; Lactobacillales; Lactobacillaceae. The record is from RNAcentral.
UAAUAAUUGUUGAUGAGGAAUAGUAACCUUUACUACCGCUAGCCAGCAAGCGAUUGGUCGAUGGAAAAUCGCAGGGUGUGAAGGUGAACUCGCCUUUGAAUAAUCGGUUGAAUGAUUUAUCAGUAGACCGGUUCGUUUGCGCGUUAUAGCAAAAGUGUUGCGUUAAACGCAAAAUGUAGGUGGCACCGCGAUCCAUUCGUCCUACGG